CCGAGUUUACAACUCCCAAACCCCUGUGAACUUAUACCUUUUCAGUUGCUUCGGCGGGACCUCGCAUCACUGCGGCCCCGCCGGAGGACCCAAACUCUUCUGUAUUUUAUAGUACUUUCUGAGUGGAUUAUACAAAUGAAUCA
This 143-nucleotide unclassified non-coding RNA is filed under the name uncultured Pochonia. RNAcentral's name for it is "sequence contains ITS1". The record is from RNAcentral. Lineage: Eukaryota; Fungi; Ascomycota; Sordariomycetes; Hypocreales; Clavicipitaceae.